UUACCAUGCAGUCGAACGAUGAACCACUUUCGGGUGGGGAUUAGUGGCGAACGGGUGAGUAACACGUGGGCAAUCUGCCCUUCACUCUGGGACAAGCCCUGGAAACGGGGUCUAAUACCGGAUACUGACCUGCCAAGGCAUCUUGGCGGGUCGAAAGCUCCGGCGGUGAAGGAUGAGCCCGCGGCCUAUCAGCUUGUUGGUGAGGUAAUGGCUCACCAAGGCGACGACGGGUAGCCGGCCUGAGAGGGCGACCGGCCACACUGGGACUGAGACACGGCCCAGACUCCUACGGGAGGCAGCAGUGGGGAAUAUUGCACAAUGGGCGAAAGCCUGAUGCAGCGACGCCGCGUGAGGGAUGACGGCCUUCGGGUUGUAAACCUCUUUCAGCAGGGAAGAAGCGAAAGUGACGGUACCUGCAGAAGAAGCGCCGGCUAACUACGUGCCAGCAGCCGCGGUAAUACGUAGGGCGCAAGCGUUGUCCGGAAUUAUUGGGCGUAAAGAGCUCGUAGGCGGCUUGUCACGUCGGUUGUGAAAGCCCGGGGCUUAACCCCGGGUCUGCAGUCGAUACGGGCAGGCUAGAGUUCGGUAGGGGAGAUCGGAAUUCCUGGUGUAGCGGUGAAAUGCGCAGAUAUCAGGAGGAACACCGGUGGCGAAGGCGGAUCUCUGGGCCGAUACUGACGCUGAGGA
This 687-nucleotide ribosomal RNA is filed under the name Streptomyces coelicoflavus. Its description in RNAcentral is "bacterial SSU rRNA". It matches the Rfam family "Bacterial small subunit ribosomal RNA", at positions 49 to 752 of the family's 1533-position model. Lineage: Bacteria; Bacillati; Actinomycetota; Actinomycetes; Kitasatosporales; Streptomycetaceae. The record is from RNAcentral.